RNAcentral lists this ribosomal RNA (460 nucleotides) under uncultured bacterium. RNAcentral describes it as "partial 16S ribosomal RNA". It matches the Rfam family "Bacterial small subunit ribosomal RNA", at positions 338 to 795 of the family's 1533-position model. The record is from RNAcentral.
ACUACGGGAGGCAGCAGUGAGGAAUAUUGGUCAAUGGGCGGAAGCCUGAACCAGCCAAGUAGCGUGCAGGAUGACGGCCCUACGGGUUGUAAACUGCUUUUAUACGGGAAUAACGCGCCUUACGUGUAGGGCUUUGCAUGUACCGUAUGAAUAAGGACCGGCUAAUUCCGUGCCAGCAGCCGCGGUAAUACGGGAGGUCCGGGCGUUAUCAGGAUUUAUUGGGGUUAAAGGGAGCGUAGGCCGCAUGUCAAGCGUGCUGUGAAAUGGCCGGGCUCAACCCGGGCCUUGCAGCGCGAACGGGCGUGCUUGAGUCCGCGGAAAGCAGGCGGAAUUCGUCGUGGAGCGGUGAAAUGCUUAGAUAUGACGAAGAACCCCGAUUGCGAAGGCAGCUUGCUGCAGCGGAACUGACGCUGAUGCUCGAAAGCGCGGGUAUCGAACAGGAUUAGAUACCCCUGUAGUC